CAAAAUGCGAUAAGUAGUGUGAAUUGCAGAAUUCAGUGAAUCAUCGAAUCUUUGAACGCACAUUGCGCCCGCCGGUAUUCCGGCGGGCACACCUGUUCGAGCGUCAUUUCAGAAUCCAUCGAGCUUUUCUGGUGGUCUUCAAAGCCGCUGGAAAUGCACGGCGUUGGGUGCUCCCUCUCCUGGAAAUGGAGUCGGGGACGCCUUAAAUCCUGCCCGAGCUGGCAGUGCAUCUAAGGACAGUGGUCGAGGUCGUACUGUCUUCUUCUCCGAGCGUUGCAGGAGGACUCACGUUAUCCCGCUCCCCGAGAGGGUCAGAAGGUCUCUCUGACAUGUGUCUUAAAAACACACACAGUCCUCUGAUGUCUUAGCUGCUAUUCGCGAACUAUAAUUUACUAUCGACAGAUUGACCUCGGAUCAGGUGGGGAUACCCGCUGAACUUAAGC
Molecule: unclassified non-coding RNA, 443 nt
Filed under: plant metagenome
Description: partial contains 5.8S ribosomal RNA, internal transcribed spacer 2, and large subunit ribosomal RNA
Rfam family: 5.8S ribosomal RNA (bases 1-106)
Source: RNAcentral